RNAcentral lists this transfer RNA (71 nucleotides) under Ischnoptera deropeltiformis. RNAcentral describes it as "tRNA-Cys". Lineage: Eukaryota; Metazoa; Arthropoda; Insecta; Blattodea; Blattellidae. The record is from RNAcentral.
UGGCUUAUAUUCAUUGAUGAUUAUAGAAUGCAAUUCUAUAGGAGUAGCUAAUAGAAUAGUUACUAAGGCUU